AUCCUCCAAGGCUAAAUACUCCUGACUGACCGAUAGUGAACCAGUACCGUGAGGGAAAGGCGAAAAGAACCCCGGCGAGGGGAGUGAAACAGAACCUGAAACCGUGUACGUACAAGCAGUGGGAGCCUUCUUUAUGGGGGUGACUGCGUACCUUUUGUAUAAUGGGUCAGCGACUUAUAUUCUGUAGCAAGGUUAACCGUAUAGGGGAGCCGCAGGGAAACCGAGUCUUAACUGGGCGUUAAGUUGCAGGGUAUAGACCCGAAACCCGGUGAUCUAGCCAUGGGCAGGUUGAAGGUUGGGUAACACUAACUGGAGGACCGAACCGACUAAUGUUGAAAAAUUAGCGGAUGACCUGUGGCUGGGGGUGAAAGGCCAAUCAAACCGGGAGAUAGCUGGUUCUCCCCGAAAGCUAUUUAGGUAGCGCCUCGUGAACUCAUCCUCGGGGGUAGAGCACUGUUUCGGCUAGGGGGCCAUCCCGGCUUACCAACCCGAUGCAAACUGCGAAUACCGAGGAAUGUUAUCACGGGAGACACACGGCGGGUGCUAACGUCCGUCGUGAAGAGGGAAACAACCCAGACCGCCAGCUAAGGUCCCAAAGUCAUGGUUAAGUGGGAAACGAUGUGGGAAGGCACAGACAGCCAGGAUGUUGGCUUAGAAGCAGCCAUCAUUUAAAGAAAGCGUAAUAGCUCACUGGUCGAGUCGGCCUGCGCGGAAGAUGUAACGGGGCUAAACCAUGCACCGAAGCUGCGGCAGCGACACUAUGUGUUGUUGGGUAGGGGAGCGUUCUGUAAGCCGU
RNAcentral lists this ribosomal RNA (796 nucleotides) under Pantoea sp. PNT01. Its description in RNAcentral is "partial 23S ribosomal RNA". It matches the Rfam family "Bacterial large subunit ribosomal RNA", at positions 455 to 1251 of the family's 2925-position model. Lineage: Bacteria; Pseudomonadati; Pseudomonadota; Gammaproteobacteria; Enterobacterales; Erwiniaceae. The record is from RNAcentral.